CGCUGGCGGCACGCCUAACACAUGCAAGUCGAACGAAGUAGCAAUACUUAGUGGCAGACGGGUGAGUAACAUGUAGGUAUCUACCCUUUGGCCUGGAAUAACACGAGGAAACUUGUGCUAAUACCGGAUAAGUCUUUACAGAGAAAGCUUUAUGCACCAUUGGAUGAGCCUGCACUUGAUUAGUUUGUUGGUGGGGUAAUGGCCUACCAAGACUUUGAUCAAUAGCUGAUUUGAGAGGAUGAUCAGCCACAUUGGGACUGAGACACGGCCCAAACUCCUACGGGAGGCAGCAGUGGGGAAUCUUGCACAAUGGAGGAAACUCUGAUGCAGCGAUGCCGCGUGAGUGAAGAAGGCCUUUGGGUUGUAAAGCUCUUUCGUCGGGGAAGAAAAUGACUGUACCCGAAUAAGAAGGUCCGGCUAACUUCGUGCCAGCAGCCGCGGUAAUACGAAGGGACCUAGCGUAGUUCGGAAUUACUGGGCUUAAAGAGUUCGUAGGUGGUUGAAAAAGUUGGUGGUGAAAUCCCAGAGCUUAACUCUGGAACUGCCAUCAAAACUUUUCAGCUAGAGUUUGAUAGAGGAAAGCAGAAUUUCUAGUGUAGAGGUGAAAUUCGUAGAUAUUAGAAAGAAUACCAAUUGCGAAGGCAGCUUUCUGGAUCAUUACUGACACUGAGGAACGAAAGCAUGGGUAGCGAAGAGGAUUAGAUACCCUCGUAGUCCAUGCCGUAAACGAUGUGUGUUAGACGUUGGAAAUUUAUUUUCAGUGUCGCAGCGAAAGCGAUAAACACACCGCCUGGGGAGUAC
This 801-nucleotide ribosomal RNA is filed under the name uncultured Pelagibacteraceae bacterium. Its description in RNAcentral is "bacterial SSU rRNA". It matches the Rfam family "Bacterial small subunit ribosomal RNA", at positions 34 to 883 of the family's 1533-position model. The record is from RNAcentral. Lineage: Bacteria; Pseudomonadati; Pseudomonadota; Alphaproteobacteria; Candidatus Pelagibacterales; Candidatus Pelagibacteraceae.